GCAGCAGCCGCGGUAAUACAGAGGGUGCGAGCGUUAAUCGGAUUUACUGGGCGUAAAGCGUGCGUAGGCGGCUUUUUAAGUCGGAUGUGAAAUCCCUGAGCUUAACUUAGGAAUUGCAUUCGAUACUGGGAAGCUAGAGUAUGGGAGAGGAUGGUAGAAUUCCAGGUGUAGCGGUGAAAUGCGUAGAGAUCUGGAGGAAUACCGAUGGCGAAGGCAGCCAUCUGGCCUAAUACUGACGCUGAGGUACGAAAGCAUGGGGAGCAAACAGGAUUAGAUACCCCCGUAGUCCCUGUCUCUUAUAA
Molecule: ribosomal RNA, 302 nt
Filed under: uncultured bacterium
Lineage: Bacteria
Description: partial 16S ribosomal RNA
Rfam family: Bacterial small subunit ribosomal RNA
Source: RNAcentral